UACGUAGGUGGCAAGCGUUAUCCGGAAUUACUGGGCGUAAAGCGCACGCAGGCGGUCUUUUAAGUUUGACGUGAAAGCUCCCGGCUUAACUGGGAGAGGUCGUUGAAGACUGGAAGACUUGAGGCAAUGAGAGGGGUGUAGAAUUCCCGGUGUAGUGGUGGAAUGCGUAGAUAUCGGGGGGGAAUACCAGUGGCGAAAGCGGCACCCUAGCGUUAGCCUGACGCUCAUGUGCGAAAGCGUGGGGAGCGAACGGG
This 254-nucleotide ribosomal RNA is filed under the name uncultured bacterium. Its description in RNAcentral is "partial 16S ribosomal RNA". It matches the Rfam family "Bacterial small subunit ribosomal RNA", at positions 524 to 776 of the family's 1533-position model. The record is from RNAcentral.